GACGAACGCUGGCGGCGUGCUUAACACAUGCAAGUCGAACGGAAAGGCCCUGCUUUUGUGGGGUGCUCGAGUGGCGAACGGGUGAGUAACACGUGAGUAACCUGCCCUUGACUUUGGGAUAACUUCAGGAAACUGGGGCUAAUACCGGAUAGGAGCUCCUGCUGCAUGGUGGGGGUUGGAAAGUUUCGGCGGUUGGGGAUGGACUCGCGGCUUAUCAGCUUGUUGGUGGGGUAGUGGCUUACCAAGGCUUUGACGGGUAGCCCGCCUGCGAGGUUGACCGGGCACCAUGGGCCUGCGGGACGCAGCAGUAGGGUAUCGGCGGCAGCGGGGGGGAACCUUGCGGAGCGGGCGCAAGUGAGUGGCGGAAGUCUUGCGAGCGGGAUAACCGGUUUCUGGGGAUAAACAGCUUUGGCAGGUGACGAGGCGUGAUUGACGGUAACGGGUCAGGAAGCACCGGCUAACUACGUG
This 468-nucleotide ribosomal RNA is filed under the name uncultured bacterium. Its description in RNAcentral is "partial 16S ribosomal RNA". It matches the Rfam family "Bacterial small subunit ribosomal RNA", at positions 28 to 507 of the family's 1533-position model. The record is from RNAcentral.